GUGGUUCAGUGGUAGAAUUCUUGCCUUACAUGCAGGAGACCCUGGUUUGAUUCCCGGC
RNAcentral lists this transfer RNA (58 nucleotides) under Loxodonta africana (African savanna elephant). It matches the Rfam family "tRNA", at positions 7 to 64 of the family's 71-position model. Rfam says of the family: Transfer RNA (tRNA) molecules are approximately 80 nucleotides in length. Their secondary structure includes four short double-helical elements and three loops (D, anti-codon, and T loops). The record is from Rfam by way of RNAcentral. Lineage: Eukaryota; Metazoa; Chordata; Mammalia; Proboscidea; Elephantidae.